GAUGAACGCUGGCGGCGUGCCUAAUACAUGCAAGUCGAGCGAACGGACGAGAAGCUUGCUUCUCUGAUGUUAGCGGCGGACGGGUGAGUAACACGUGGAUAACCUACCUAUAAGACUGGGAUAACUUCGGGAAACCGUAGCUAAUACCGGAUAAUAUUUUGAACCGCAUGGUUCAAAAGUGAAAGACGGUCUUGCUGUCACUUAUAGAUGGAUCCGCGCUGCAUUAGCUAGUUGGUAAGGUAACGGCUUACCAAGGCAACGAUGCAUAGCCGACCUGAGAGAGUGAUCGGCCACACGAGAACGUAGACACGGUCCAGACUCCUACGGGAGGCAGCAGUAGGGAAUCUUCCGCAAUGGGCGAAAGCCUGACGGAGCAACGCCGCGUGAGUGAUGAAGGUCUUCGGAUCGUAAAACUCUGUUAUUAGUGAAGAACAUAUGUGUAAGUAACUGUGCACAUCUUGACGGUACCUAAUCAGAAAGCCACGGCUAACUACGUG
RNAcentral lists this ribosomal RNA (497 nucleotides) under uncultured bacterium. Its description in RNAcentral is "partial 16S ribosomal RNA". It matches the Rfam family "Bacterial small subunit ribosomal RNA", at positions 28 to 507 of the family's 1533-position model. The record is from RNAcentral.